This 62-nucleotide small nuclear RNA is filed under the name Bison bison bison. Its description in RNAcentral is "U7 small nuclear RNA (ENSBBBG00000023189.1)". It matches the Rfam family "U7 small nuclear RNA". From Rfam's summary of the family: Animal histone pre-mRNAs are spliced by a different mechanism than nuclear pre-mRNAs and self-splicing introns. This processing involves the U7 snRNP, which contains only one RNA species: U7. The 5' end of U7 RNA is thought to base-pair to a conserved spacer element downstream of the cleavage site in histone pre-mRNA. Lineage: Eukaryota; Metazoa; Chordata; Mammalia; Artiodactyla; Bovidae. The record is from RNAcentral.
AAGUGUUACAUCUCUUUUAGAAUUUGUCUAGCAGGCUUUCCGGUUCGUACCGGAAAGACCCU